RNAcentral lists this long non-coding RNA (356 nucleotides) under Bos taurus (domestic cattle). RNAcentral describes it as "long non-coding RNA NONBTAT016804". The record is from RNAcentral. Lineage: Eukaryota; Metazoa; Chordata; Mammalia; Artiodactyla; Bovidae.
CAUAUGAAAGAAGAACAAUAUUAUUUUUAAAAGUGAAUUUUGUGACCUGAUUUCCACCAGACCUGACUUUCCCUCCUGCCCGCUUCUCAGGUUACAUGUAUUGACAUUCAGUGCUGGUGUCUUUCUAGAUCUCCCAGUCUUUCCACACUAUCCUUGGUGGCCAGUACACAAAACCGCAUCCGCAGCUGGCUCCUAAUAAACAUCAACUGGACGAACUGUGUGCCAGUGAGAAUUACGACUGAGGCUCAGUGCACGAAUGUGGCUGGAGAUGGGCACAUAGGCGAUAAAGUGCUACGGCAAAGGCCGGCGGGAAGGGAACACACGCGGCCCGUUAGCAUCUCACUUCUGUGCUCCCG